This 245-nucleotide unclassified non-coding RNA is filed under the name Hevea brasiliensis (rubber tree). The record is from RNAcentral. Lineage: Eukaryota; Viridiplantae; Streptophyta; Magnoliopsida; Malpighiales; Euphorbiaceae.
UUUCUCAAAGUCAUUCUUCGUCUCUGAGUUAUCGGCUUUCGUCUUUUGCCGGGCUAGCGGCUCCCUCUGCUCCUCGGGGCUGGGGGAGUCUUCGUCCUCCUUGUCCCCAAUGUGGGUCGCCCCAAAUGUGGGUCGCCUUCCUUACCUUCGGGGCGGGAUGGUUGUGAAUAAAUAACUGAGUUUUUGAGUAAUUUUGAAGCAGAUUUGUGGGUAUUUGACGAAGGUUUUCUUGAUCUGCAUCUGAA